RNAcentral lists this non-coding RNA (122 nucleotides) under Pseudoxanthomonas spadix. RNAcentral describes it as "Pseudoxanthomonas sp. Glycine sequence". It matches the Rfam family "Glycine riboswitch aptamer". Rfam says of the family: This family represents the bacterial glycine riboswitch. Glycine riboswitches usually consist of two metabolite-binding aptamers domains with similar structures in tandem. RNAcentral also lists the same sequence under 1 other name. The record is from RNAcentral. Lineage: Bacteria; Pseudomonadati; Pseudomonadota; Gammaproteobacteria; Lysobacterales; Lysobacteraceae.
CAACGACACUCUGGAGAGACCGGCCGCCCUCGCGGCAGCGCCGGCGCCGAAGGGGCACGAAGCACGCGACCUCCUCGUCGGCGCGCUUCCAAACUCUCAGGCAAAAGGACAGAGGGGCAUCC